This 244-nucleotide ribosomal RNA is filed under the name uncultured bacterium. Its description in RNAcentral is "partial small subunit ribosomal RNA". It matches the Rfam family "Bacterial small subunit ribosomal RNA", at positions 26 to 285 of the family's 1533-position model. The record is from RNAcentral.
AGAAUCAACGCUGGCGGCGUGCCUAACACAUGCAAGUCGCACGAGAAAGGGGAGCAAUCCCUGAGUACAGUGGCGCACGGGUGAGUAACACGUGAAUCAUCUACCUCCGAGUGGGGAAUAACUGAGAGAAAUCUUAGCUAAUACCGCAUAAUACCCACGGGUCAAAGCAGCAAUGCGCUUGGAGAGGAGUUCGCGGCAGAUUAGUUAGUUGGCGGGUAAUGGCCCACCAAGACGAUGAUCUGUA